AUUGAACGCUGGCGGCAUGCCUUACACAUGCAAGUCGAACGGUAACAGGUUAAGCUGACGAGUGGCGAACGGGUGAGUAAUGUAUCGGAACGUGCCCAGUCGUGGGGGAUAACUGCUUGAAAGAGCAGCUAAUACCGCAUACGACCUGAGGGUGAAAGCGGGGGAUCGCAAGACCUCGCGCGAUUGGAGCGGCCGAUAUCAGAUUAGGUAGUUGGUGGGGUAAAGGCCUACCAAGCCGACGAUCUGUAGCUGGUCUGAGAGGACGACCAGCCACACUGGGACUGAGACACGGCCCAGACUCCUACGGGAGGCAGCAGUGGGGAAUUUUGGACAAUGGACGCAAGUCUGAUCCAGCCAUGCCGCGUGCGGGAAGAAGGCCUUCGGGUUGUAAACCGCUUUUGUCAGGGAAGAAACGCUCUGGGUUAAUACCUCGGGGUAAUGACGGUACCUGAAGAAUAAGCACCGGCUAACUACGUGCCAGCCGCCGCCGUAA
This 493-nucleotide ribosomal RNA is filed under the name uncultured bacterium. RNAcentral describes it as "partial 16S ribosomal RNA". It matches the Rfam family "Bacterial small subunit ribosomal RNA", at positions 30 to 523 of the family's 1533-position model. The record is from RNAcentral.